This is an RNA transcript of Helicoverpa armigera (cotton bollworm), 2772 nucleotides long. RefSeq lists it as uncharacterized. NCBI's taxonomy places the organism in Eukaryota, Metazoa, Arthropoda, Insecta, Lepidoptera, Noctuidae. The record is from RefSeq and is a predicted model, not a curated record. The transcript has 3 exons.
UUUUGAAAAUUGAACUAAAAAGUAGUCUAGAAAAAAAACCAAAUUUAGAAAAAAAACAACGAUGCAAAGUUUUUUUUCAAUAAAGUGAAAAAAAACAAAUCGUUUUUUUUCAAUAAAGUGAAAAAAAACAAAUCGUUUUUUUUUCAUUUUACAUCACUAAAUGGGGGUUAACUCAAAAAUCUAGUCUAGUUUUUCGAGUUAAACAAACCAUGCAAAAACACUUUUAACGAAUACCCAUCGGCUAACGAAACAGAUUUAAGAAUGUUCUAGCUGUGUACAAAAAGCAUUUUUCUAUACAGACACUUCUACCACGCACUCGGAUGGAGGAAUGAGAUUUUCAUAUUUUCUAAAAAAAGACUUUUUUGUGUUAAUGCUCUUUAGAUGUAGGUGUGCGAUAUUUAGGAAUAAAUCUACACACACGGCAGAACAUGCCAAGUAACAUCAUUAAAAAGUAACUAUUUUUAACUGAGGUAUGUGUAUAACUUGAUACUUAUUCAGAUCUCACUUCUUUUAUAGGCGACACAUUCCCAUAUUAUUGAACUUGGCAGUCUUUCACAUUUUUGUUUUGGGUGGGAUUCUUUUUUACAGAUCUCAUUCCGGUGUGUUGCCCUUCUCCUGCGCACAGUGCGCGCGCAGGUUCGCCACUAAGUGUAACUUACGUGCGCAUGCGUCAGUGCAUGAGAUGUGCAGGCUGCACUACUGUGUAGAGUGUCACACGCACUAUAAGACGAAUAAGAGCUUGAAGCGGCAUUUUAGAGUGUUUUUAGUCUUUAAAAAUUAUUGACAGAAAUUACAGCUCAACAUGAACCCUUUUUAGUCAUGAACCCUUGAACCCUUUUCAAUCAUGUCAUGAACCCUUUUCAGUCAUAACAUGAACCCUUUUUAGCCAUGACAUGAACCCUUCUUUGUCAUGACAUGAACCCUUCUUAGUCAAAACAUGAACCCUUUUUAGUCAUGACAUGAACCCUUUUGUCUUGACAUGAACCCUUUUGUCUUGAUAUGAACCCUUUUGUCUUGACAUGAACCCUUUUGUCUUGAUAUGAACCCUUUUGUCUUGACAUGAACCCUUAUCAGUCAUGAACCCUUUUUUGCCAAUAUUAGUAUUUAUUCUUGUCUGCAGGUCACAUUCCGGUGUGUUGCCCUUCUCGUGCGCACAGUGCGCGCGCAGGUUCGCCACUAAGUGUAACUUACGUGCGCAUGCGUCAGUGCAUGAGAUGUGCGGGCAGCACUACUGUGUAGUGUGUCACACGCACUAUAAGACGAAUAAGAGCUUGAAGAGGCAUUUUAAAGAAUCUUUUUAGACAUGAAACAUUUUAGACAGAAAUUACAGCUCAAGAUGAACCACCCAUCUUAAAAGUCAUGAAAAGUUUUUACAUGAAAACAUGAACCCUUAGUAGUCAUGAACCUUACUUAGUCAUGAACCCUUAUUAGUCAUGAACCUUUGAACCCCUUUUAGUCAUGAACCCUUUUUAGUCAUGAACCCUAUUUAUUCAUGAACCCUUUUUAGUCCUGAGCCCUUCUAUGCAUGAACCCUUUUCAGCCAUGAACCCUUUUUAGUCAUGAACCCUUUUUCUGUCAUGAACCCUUUUCAGUCAUGAACCCUUAUUAGUCAUGAACCCAACUUAGUCAUGAACCCUAUUUAGUCAUGAACCCUUUCUAUUCAUGAACCCUUUUCAAUCAUGAGCCCUUUUCAUUCAAGGACACUUUUUGCCAAUAUUUUGUACAGAUAUUUAGCUACAUAUUUAUAUUCUUGUCUGCAGGUACCAUUCCGGUGUGUUGCCCUUCUCGUGCGCACAGUGCGCGCGCAGUUUCGCCACUAAGUGUAACUUACGUGCGCAUGCGUCAGUGCAUGAGAUGUGCACGCAGCACUACUGUGUAGAGUGUCACACGCACUAUAGCACUGCUAACAGCUUGAAGCGACAUUUCAAAGUAUUUUUAGUCAUGAAAAUAUUUAGACAGAAAUUACAGCUCAACAUGAACCUUAAAAAGCCAUGAAAAGUUUUUACAUGAAAACAUGAACCCUUUUUAGUCAUAACAUGAACCCUACUUAGCCAUGAACCCUUGAACCUUUUUUAGUCAUGAACCCUUGAACCAUUUUAGUCAUAACAUGAACCCUUUUUAGUCAUGAACCCUUGAACCCUUAAUAGUCAUGAACCCUUGAACCCUUUUUAGCCAUGAACCUCUGAACCCUUUUUAGUCAUGAACCCUUGAACCCUUUUUAGCCAUGAACCCUUAUUAGUCAUGAACCCUUGAACCCUUAUAAGUCAUGAACCCUUGAACCCUUCUUAGUCAUGACAUGAACCCUUUGUUAGUCAUGAACCCUUUUUUGUUAAUUUUUUGUACAGAUAUUUAGCUACAUAUCUAUAUUCUUGUCUGCAGGUCUCAUACCGGUGUGUUGCCCUUCUCGUGCGCACAGUGCGCGCGCAGGUUCGCCACUAAGUGUAACUUACGUGCGCAUGCGUCAGUGCAUGAGAUGUGCAGGCAGCACUACUGUGUCGAGUGUCACACGCACUAUAAGACGAAUAAGAGCUUGAAGCGACAUUUUAGGGAGUCGGUUAGACAUGCUUUGGGAAAUGAUUUGUAUUCAUGUAAGCAGUGCACUAAAAAGUUUUCAAAUGAGACGUCUUUGAGAAAUCACGUAAAUACAAGACAUGGGACUGAGUACCGCUGUACCCAUUGUGACAAGACAUUUUCCAACAAUUCGAACUUAAAUAAACAUAUAAAGUGUAUUCAUUCACAAUAAUUGUUGUUAAAUAAAUACCUUUACCAAAU